Molecule: long non-coding RNA, 2761 nt
Filed under: Marmota monax (woodchuck)
Lineage: Eukaryota; Metazoa; Chordata; Mammalia; Rodentia; Sciuridae
Source: RNAcentral
UGCAUUUCUAAUGUUAAAAAAGUUUAAUAUAAUUGAUUUCUUGUCAUAAUUUAAAUUUUUUAUUUCAUCUAGUUUUUUUAAAAAGUAAAGAGAAAUAUACUUUGUUACUAGAAUAUAAUUGACUAUAGAAAAGCAACGACAUACAAUACAUAUAGUUGUCCCUUUGUAUCCAUAAAGAAUUGGUUCCAGAACCUGCAUGGAUAGCAAAAUUGAAGGACACUCAGGUCCUUUAUAUAGAAUAACAUAGUAUCUGCAUAAACCCAUGUAUAACUUCCCAGUUUAAAUCAUCUGUAAAUUAUUUAUAAUGCCUAAUACACUAUAAAUACUAUGUAACUGAUAAUCAUGUGUGUUGUGUAGGGAAUAAUGACAAGAAAACAGUCUGUGCAUGUUUGGUACAGAGAGAAACUUAAAGAAAUAGUUUUGAUUUGCAUUUGGUUGAACUCAGAUGCAGAACCGGUGGAUAGAGAGGGUUGACUUGAUAAAAUGUUAUUUGAAAUUCUUAGAAUUAGCUUUUAUCUCUGGCAUACUUAGUCUGCUAUUAUAAUUUACUGCAUGGAUUUUAGUUUUAAUGAAUACAUUAAGUUUAGUGAUGCUUUCCGGAUCCUACAUGUAGGAUCAUAUUACAAUGGCAAAGAUGAACACAGUGAUUUAAAUAAAACACUUAAAUUUGUUAAGAUUUAAAUAAUUCCAAGAGAUAUUUUUUUUUUCUCAAAGCUUAUCCAUCUCUUGUUCUCUUAUCUGAAGUGCUUUGGAUCAUUGAAGGCAAAUAAAUUGUGUCAGUUUUGGAAGGACAUGGGAAGAUUGUCCAUCUUUUUUUCUGUUUUCAUUAUACAACAGUGAGCAGUGUCCUAGGGCCUGGUACAGGGAUAUUCGGCCAUGCUUACAUUCUUACAUGGAGCUUGGGAACAAACAGUUCAAGUACAUACAUGACAUUUUCCUAAAUGUUUCUUGGCAAGGUUGCAGAAAUAUUUUCAACCACUGACACAUUUUGUUUUUAUUUUUUAUAACACCACCAGUAGCAAAAUAUGCUAACACGACUGUUAUUUUUUCCUCUUUCUGUUUCUUACGGUGUGAGAAUGAAUUCUGAACAGACACAAAAUAGUUUUUGAUCUACAAAAGAAAAAAAGAAACUAAAUGCAACCCUGGAUGAAGAGCUGGGAGUGCGGGUUCUUUCUAUUUGCCUAGUGCUCUAGUUCUCCAACUGAUAGAACUCCAAACCUUUUCCUAUAUGGCACUAUGUGCAUAUUCACACAGGUCUCCACACACACAUUCACAGAUGUGCAGGCACAGUUAAUUACCCUCCCUUUAUAAUGUCUGGGGAAAAACAAAAGAAGACCACAAAGUUUGUGACAGUGUGAGCAUCAGGGGUCAUUCUCAGGGGACAGAAUGAUGUUAUUCUAAACCAGCAGUCCAUUCAACACAUUCAAAAUUUGGCUAGAUUUUCUAUACCAGCAGCUUCUGUUCUCGCCUUCUUCCUAGUGUCUGCUGAUUUAAUUUUAGUGACGUGAUCACUAAAGGAGUCAAUGUCACAGCAGCUUCUUUUUCUGAGGCCCUUUCAAGGUUUCAAGGAUUCCUUUCUACUUUAUAUCAUGCAGGCCACCUACUCUAGAAUCCUUCCUGGAACAAGUUGAAAUAUUUAUUUUGAAAGGGAAGAAAAGGUAGAAAUUAAAGUUUUUACACAAGAUAUUUGAAACUAAUUUUUGCCUUGGGAAAAUGUUACAUAGCAUUUAAAAUAUCCUCAUGUAUGUGUGGUGACAUAGUGUAAUGAUAGCUGAGUAUGCAUUCUCUCUCUAUAUAUACACUGUUGUUGUUGUUAUUAUUAUUAUUAUUAUUAUUGGGGGGGUUUCCAUAAAUUAAACCCAGGGUCACUCAACCACUGAGCCACAUCCCCAGCCCCUUUGUUUUUUAAAAAAAUAUUUUAUUAGAGACAGGAUCACCCCGAGUUGCUUAAAGCCUUGAUAUGUUGCUGAGGCUGGGAUUACAGGCGUGUGCCACCACACCCAACUUUUUUUUUUUUAACAUUUUUUAUUUUGAGACAGCAUCUAGCUAAAUUGUGUGGAGCAUCUCUAAAUUGCUGAAGCUGGCUUUGAUUGUAAUCCUCCUGCUUCAGCCUCCUGCGCCCCUGGGAUUACAGGCGUGAUCCAUCGUGCCUGGCUUCUCCAUAAAAUUUUUAGAAUGUUUCUUUGUGUUCCAAUAAUAUGCCAAAUCACAACACCCUGAAUUCAUACCAAUGGAUUAUUCUGAGCUAAAUUUCUGAAUUGUAUUCUUAUGCUGGUUAAAAUUUCAAGUUUUUAAAGUAUUUCCUUCCCAAUUAAAAAAAUAGAAUGAAAUAUACCAACUGAACCAGAUCCCAGAUAAACAACUAAACUAAAUAACAUACAAUAGUUGACAUCAAUUUUAACUUUCAGAAAUAUCUGCGAGAUGGAUUAUAUAGAAAACAAAUUAAGACACUUCUAUUUGAAAUUCUCUUGCAUUCUGGAAACUAAACAGUAUCCAGUUUAGACUUGAAUGUACCUCAGUAACCUCAGUAUCUCUUAUGGUGCUAUGAUGUCAUGGUAGAGCAGAAGUAGUUCUAAUGCCUUUAAAGAUAAUUAAAGUAAAAAUAGCAGUGAUUGGUGAAGAAGAGACCAAAGAAUAAGAUUACAGUAUUUUUUGCAGGGAACCAUUCAAAGGACUACUGCUUCACAGAUCUGUUCAUUUACUGCCCAGGAGGAGUUAGUAAAUCCAAUGUCAGUUAAGGACCCUUUUAACAGAAAACCUA